Molecule: long non-coding RNA, 1638 nt
Filed under: Homo sapiens (human)
Lineage: Eukaryota; Metazoa; Chordata; Mammalia; Primates; Hominidae
Description: HSALNT0009806
Source: RNAcentral
GGCGAGUGGUGCAGGUGGAGGCGGAGGGCGCGGGCCGGUAGGUUGAGUAGUAGGUCGGCUGAAGCUGACCGACGGAAGCAGGGGUGGGCGCACAGAGCGCGAAGGGUGCGGGGAGAGUUGAGGCAGGGGAAAGAAGAACGAGCAGGAACGUGAGUUUGGGCUGGUGGCUGCAAAGUUUUGGUUAGGGAGCCCGAGAAAGGGAAAGUGCCCUCCUGGCUGUCACCCCAGCACCUUCACCGCCACCGCUGCACGAGGUGUGUCUUAGGCACAGCAAGUCCUAGCUUGAGAGAAAACAAAGAUUGUUUUGACGGACAAAGUACGAGUGCAGGUGUAUCUCGGUGCAUGUGUUCUAGAAAUGUAUCAAUCAUUUUAAUCGCCCAGAGAGCUAGCUAGCUAAAAGAAAUUUGCAGCGAUUCCUUUUCUAUAAGAGUUCUUUUAUCAAAAACAAAACAAAACCCACCCACCGAUGUCUCUUUUAAGUCUGUUUUUCCUUCUUUAUUUCAGUUAAUGCAUGCUAACAAAAUUAUUACAUCAGCCAAAACUUGUAAAAUGGAGCCACAAAUAUUAUGUCCCUCAUCACCCUACCUACAAGAUUAUCAUACAGGUUUGCAGCUUUCUAAUAUAAAAAAGUUAACACUUCAUUUUAAUUUAAAUAGUGAGUUGAGAAGCAAUUGAAUUGAAGUUGAGACACAGUGUAAUCUAGAAAUACCGGCUGUCUCCCAAAAACGUUAAAUUCCAGGUUCUGGGCAGCAGUUGCAAACUCAAGUACCCCUCGUUGCCAGAGAUUAAUUGAUUCAGUGACUGAUAAGAAUCAGUCGUGCUAUCAUCCCUGAUUUGAGUUACUUUUUUUAGUGUUUACAUAGUAGAAAGGGCCUUUUUCUGAGUUACUCAUAAAUAUGCUGACACCUAGCACAGUGCGUGCACUUAGUAGAUACUCAAAUACUUAAGAAAAUAUUUGUUGAAUAAAUAAAUGUUUGCAUUACUGAAUAAAAUGAAAUAAUUUUGCCCUAAUUUACCUUAUUUGCAACUGCAGUAUAUUUUCCUAUGUCAGUUGUUUUCUUGUUGUCCAGUGGCUCCAAUCUCUGAAUGUGCUUUGACUAUACUACCUUUAUUAGUACCUAGUCUCUGCUUUCUGGAAUAAUUGUUACCUGCAUCUGAGAUUUGCAGAUAAGAGAGAAUAUUUGCAGAAAUCUUACCCACUCUCUAAAACUCUGCUCUAGGCCAGGCGGGGUGGCUCAUGCCUGUAAUCUUAGCACUUUGAGAGGCUGAGAUGGGCAGAUUGCUUGAGCCCAGGAGUUCAAGACCAGCCUGGACAACAUGGCACAACCUGGUCUCUACGAGGAACAAAAACAAACAAAAAAAAAAACACAAAAAAAAUUGGCUAGAUGUGGUGGUGUGCACCUGUAGUCCUAGCUACUCUAGAGGCCGCGGUGGGAGGAUCACUUGAGCCUGUGAGGCUGAAGCUGCAAUGAACCGAGAUCAUGACACUUCAUUCCAACCUGGAUGACUGAGGGAGAUUCUGUCUCAAAAUAAUAAGAAUAAAAUAAUAAAACUCAGCUCAACUGCCUUCUUGUUUAUGAAGUCAUCUCUGAUCUCCCAGACGGGAACUCAAGUUCUAAACUUCAAUAUUACUUUAUU